This 423-nucleotide ribosomal RNA is filed under the name uncultured bacterium. RNAcentral's name for it is "bacterial SSU rRNA". It matches the Rfam family "Bacterial small subunit ribosomal RNA", at positions 358 to 773 of the family's 1533-position model. The record is from RNAcentral.
GGAAUAUUGGACAAUGGGCGCAAGCCUGAUCCAGCCAUGCCGCGUGGAUGAUGAAGGCCCUAGGGUUGUAAAGCCCUUUCGGUGGGGAAGAAAAGCCUCGACCUAAUACGUCGGGGUCUUGACGUAACCCACAAAAGAAGCACCGGCUAACUCUGUGCCAGCAGCCGCGGUAAUACAGAGGGUGCGAGCGUUAAUCGGAAUUACUGGGCGGAAAGCGCACGUAGGCGGCUCUGCAAGUCGGGUGUGAAAUCCCCGGGCUCAACCUGGGAACUGCAUUCGAUACUGCAUUGCUGGAGUAUGGGAGAGGGAAGUGGAAUUUCCGGUGUAGCGGUGAAAUGCGUAGAUAUCGGAAGGAACACCAGUGGCGAAAGCGACUUCCUGGACCAAUACUGACGCUCAGGUGCGAAAGCGUGGGGAGCAAAC